Molecule: ribosomal RNA, 433 nt
Filed under: uncultured bacterium
Lineage: Bacteria
Description: partial 16S ribosomal RNA
Rfam family: Bacterial small subunit ribosomal RNA
Source: RNAcentral
AGCGAACGCUGGCGGCAGGCCUAACACAUGCAAGUCGAACGAACUCUUCGGAGUUAGUGGCGGACGGGUGAGUAACACGUGGGAACGUGCCUUUUGGUUCGGAAUAACUCAGGGAAACUUGUGCUAAUACCGAAUGCGCCCUUCGGGGGAAAGAUUUAUCGCCAUUAGAGCGGCCCGCGUCUGAUUAGCUAGUUGGUGAGGUAACGGCUCACCAAGGCGACGAUCAGUAGCUGGUCUGAGAGGAUGACCAGCCACACUGGGACUGAGACACGGCCCAGACUCCUACGGGAGGCAGCAGUGGGGAAUCUUGCGCAAUGGGCGAAAGCCUGACGCAGCCAUGCCGCGUGAAUGAUGAAGGUCUUAGGAUUGUAAAAUUCUUUCACCGGGGACGAUAAUGACGGUACCCGGAGAAGAAGCCCCGGCUAACUUCGUG